UGUAGGAGCUGGCUUGCCUGCGAUGGCGGUGGGUCAGUUCUUGCAUUUGUCUCUGACCCACCGCCAUCGCAGGCAAGCCAGCUCCCACA
This 89-nucleotide unclassified non-coding RNA is filed under the name Pseudomonas costantinii. The record is from RNAcentral. Lineage: Bacteria; Pseudomonadati; Pseudomonadota; Gammaproteobacteria; Pseudomonadales; Pseudomonadaceae.